Molecule: ribosomal RNA, 432 nt
Filed under: Bacillus subtilis
Lineage: Bacteria; Bacillati; Bacillota; Bacilli; Caryophanales; Bacillaceae
Description: bacterial SSU rRNA
Rfam family: Bacterial small subunit ribosomal RNA
Source: RNAcentral
AUGCAGAGUCUGACGGAGCACGCCGCGUGAGUGAUGAAGGUUUUCGGAUCGUAAAGCUCUGUUGUUAGGGAAGAACAAGUACCGUUCGAAUAGGGCGGUACCUUGACGGUACCUAACCAGAAAGCCACGGCUAACUACGUGCCAGCAGCCGCGGUAAUACGUAGGUGGCAAGCGUUGUCCGGAAUUAUUGGGCGUAAAGGGCUCGCAGGCGGUUUCUUAAGUCUGAUGUGAAAGCCCCCGGCUCAACCGGGGAGGGUCAUUGGAAACUGGGGAACUUGAGUGCAGAAGAGGAGAGUGGAAUUCCACGUGUAGCGGUGAAAUGCGUAGAGAUGUGGAGGAACACCAGUGGCGAAGGCGACUCUCUGGUCUGUAACUGACGCUGAGGAGCGAAAGCGUGGGGAGCGAACAGGAUUAGAUACCCUAGUAGUCAGG